UACGUAGGGAGCAAGCGUUGUCCGGAAUCAUUGGGCGUAAAGCGCGCGUAGGCGGCCUCAUAAGUCCGUUGUGAAAGUCAAAGGCUCAACCUUUGAAAGCCGAUGGAUACUGUGAGGCUAGAGUCCGGAAGAGGCGAGUGGAAUUCCUGGUGUAGCGGUGGAAUGCGCAGAUAUCAGGAGGAACACCAAUAGCGAAGGCAGCUCGCUGGGACGGUACUGACGCUAAGGCGCGAAGGCCAGGGGAGCAAACGGG
Molecule: ribosomal RNA, 253 nt
Filed under: uncultured bacterium
Lineage: Bacteria
Description: partial 16S ribosomal RNA
Rfam family: Bacterial small subunit ribosomal RNA
Source: RNAcentral